UUACAAAGGUGAAUCUAAUGUUUCUCUUCAUGUGGGGAGGCUUGUGUAAGAUUAUACAAAUAGAUGUAGACAAGUGAUAAUGAAGUAAAAUUAGAUUAUAUUUGGAGCACCAAAGUAUUCCUUUUAAAAAUUUCAAUUGCUGGUUCAGUAUUGAAUAUAAGCCUUUAUUUCGUGUUCCUUCUAGUUAAGCCUUUUCAAGUUUGUAUUAGAGGAAGCUAUGGGAUAAUGGGAAAUUAAUGUUAUGAAGUGGGGCUAAUCCAUGUAUCUUUGUGACAAUUUAGGCAAGCUUACUCCUGCUCAAACCCUUGAUCUAGUGUCUGCAAGUAAUUAUGUUAUGAUCGACAUUCGAUCAGAGAAGGACAAGGACAAGGCUGGCAUCCCCAGACUUCCCUCAAAUGCUAAGAACAAGAUGAUUGCAAUUCCGUGAGUAUAAAUCUGUUUGCUUCAGUUCAUUCAUUUCUCUUUUGUUACAAAACUGAAAAGUCAAGAAUAUUAAGACUAUUACUGCAUGAUAAUUUAGAAGAUAAGAAGAUAUAUAUGAUGACAGGGACCAUUUAGCAGACAGCAUGUGACUUUUCUACACCUUUCUUUUCUUAGAAAUAUUACUAUCAUCUUUAUAGUAAAAAAUUUUUAAAAGAUGCAAAAGUCAUUGUCAAUUGAUUCUAAUCUCCCUAACAAGACAAGCAGUUGGACUGGGCAUUCUAGAAAUCCUUCUGAGAUUAAGCAAUGCAUUAGAAGGUUCAGAAUCCUCCAUGGAUGUGUGCAACCUGUAAUUGUUGACUUAUGUUGUACCUUCUUUUAUGGUUAUUAUUACAGUUUAGAUCAGCAUUU
This 831-nucleotide unclassified non-coding RNA is filed under the name Hevea brasiliensis (rubber tree). Lineage: Eukaryota; Viridiplantae; Streptophyta; Magnoliopsida; Malpighiales; Euphorbiaceae. The record is from RNAcentral.